UGGGGAAUAUUGGGCAAUGGACGCAAGUCUGACCCAGCGACGCCGCGUGCGGGAAGAAGGCCUUCGGGUUGUAAACCGCUUUCAGCAGGGAAGAAGCGAAAGUGACGGUACCUGCAAAAGAAGCACCGGCUAACUAUGUGCCAGCAGCCGCGGUAAUACAUAGGGUGCAAGCGUUAUUCGGAUUUAUUGGGCGUAAAGAGCGCGUAGGCGGUUUAUCAAGUCAGAUGUGAAAGCCCUGGGCUCAACCUGGGAAGUGCAUUUGAAACUAGUAGACUUGAGUAUGGGAGAGGGAAGUGGAAUUCCUGGUGUAGAGGUGAAAUUCGUAGAUAUCAGGAGGAACACCAAUGGCGAAGGCAGGUCUCUGGGCCAUUACUGACACUGAGGAGCGAAAGCGUGGGGAGCGAACAGG
Molecule: ribosomal RNA, 409 nt
Filed under: uncultured bacterium
Lineage: Bacteria
Description: bacterial SSU rRNA
Rfam family: Bacterial small subunit ribosomal RNA
Source: RNAcentral